GCGGACGGGUGAGUAAUGCCUAGGAAAUUGCCCUGAUGUGGGGGAUAACCAUUGGAAACGAUGGCUAAUACCGCAUAAUGCCUACGGGCCAAAGAGGGGGACCUUCGGGCCUCUCGCGUCAGGAUAUGCCUAGGUGGGAUUAGCUAGUUGGUGAGGUAAGGGCUCACCAAGGCGACGAUCCCUAGCUGGUCUGAGAGGAUGAUCAGCCACACUGGAACUGAGACACGGUCCAGACUCCUACGGGAGGCAGCAGUGGGGAAUAUUGCACAAUGGGCGCAAGCCUGAUGCAGCCAUGCCGCGUGUGUGAAGAAGGCCUUCGGGUUGUAAAGCACUUUCAGUCGUGAGGAAGGUAGUGUAAUUAAUAGCUGCAUUAUUUGACGUUAGCGACAGAAGAAGCACCGGCUAACUCCGUGCCAGCAGCCGCGGUAAUACGGAGGGUGCGAGCGUUAAUCGGAAUUACUGGGCGUAAAGCGCAUGCAGGUGGUUUGUUAAGUCAGAUG
This 500-nucleotide ribosomal RNA is filed under the name Vibrio rotiferianus. RNAcentral describes it as "bacterial SSU rRNA". It matches the Rfam family "Bacterial small subunit ribosomal RNA", at positions 98 to 594 of the family's 1533-position model. The record is from RNAcentral. Lineage: Bacteria; Pseudomonadati; Pseudomonadota; Gammaproteobacteria; Vibrionales; Vibrionaceae.